UACGUAGGUGACAAGCGUUGUCCGGAUUUACUGGGCGUAAAGAGCGCGCAGGCGGUCGUUCAAGUCGAGUGUGAAAGCCCCCGGCUCAACUGGGGAGGGCCAUUCGAUACUGAUCGACUCGAAGGCAGGAGAGGGUAGUGGAAUUCCCGGUGUAGUGGUGAAAUGCGUAGAUAUCGGGAGGAACACCAGUGGCGAAGGCGACUACCUGGCCUGUUCUUGACGCUGAGGCGCGAAAGCUAGGGGAGCAAACGGG
This 253-nucleotide ribosomal RNA is filed under the name uncultured bacterium. Its description in RNAcentral is "partial 16S ribosomal RNA". It matches the Rfam family "Bacterial small subunit ribosomal RNA", at positions 524 to 776 of the family's 1533-position model. The record is from RNAcentral.